This 344-nucleotide ribosomal RNA is filed under the name uncultured Pseudomonas sp. RNAcentral's name for it is "bacterial SSU rRNA". It matches the Rfam family "Bacterial small subunit ribosomal RNA", at positions 1037 to 1382 of the family's 1533-position model. Lineage: Bacteria; Pseudomonadati; Pseudomonadota; Gammaproteobacteria; Pseudomonadales; Pseudomonadaceae. The record is from RNAcentral.
GGUGCUGCAUGGCUGUCGUCAGCUCGUGUCGUGAGAUGUUGGUUAAGUCCGUAACGAGCGCAACCCUGUCCUUAGUUACCAGCACGUUAUGGUGGGCACUCUAAGGAGACUGCCGGUGGACAAACCGGAGGAAGGUGGGGAUGAUGUCAAGUCAUCAUGGCCCUUACGGCCUGGGCUACACACGUGCUACAAUGGUCGGUACAAAGGGUUGCCAAGCCGCGAGGUGGAGCUAAUCCCAUAAAACCGAUCGUAGUCCGGAUCGCAGUCUGCAACUCGACUGCGUGAAGUCGGAAUCGCUAGUAAUCGUGAAUCAGAAUGUCACGGUGAAUACGUUCCCGGGCCUU